RNAcentral lists this long non-coding RNA (1482 nucleotides) under Homo sapiens (human). RNAcentral's name for it is "HSALNT0152794". The record is from RNAcentral. Lineage: Eukaryota; Metazoa; Chordata; Mammalia; Primates; Hominidae.
ACUGACUCCUAAGUCUUCUGCAGGAUUGUAGCGAAGGGUUGGAGAUACGCAAACUGUAAAAAGGCUUUGUGAACUCUGAAGCUGCUGUGAAUGACUCGUUUGACUCACUUGACCCUGUUGGGGGACAGGAAGAGUGGCUUUUGGAUCUUAAUCCAAAAAAACACAAUCCCAAACACCAUCAUCCUGAAAGCUGAAUUCUGGAGGUGGGAUUAGUGGGGGUUUCGGUUGCACACAGAGCAGUUACAUUAUGUUAGUUGCAUCACGUUAGGCGGAACUAUUACCUUGCUGUUGUCUUUAUUUGCAUCUGGUGGAAAAUUCAGAUGAGUUGUUUGGCCAAGCAAUAUUGCAGUUAUGAAAACUUCUGUUUAAGAAUGUUUCCUUGGCCUGCAUUGACAUUCCUUCUAGCUGAUGACAUUCCAGGAGCUUUUAAUGAAUUAAAGCCACAUUUGCCUGAAGAAGCUGGUGACGUUAUUGACUAGUUUGAAAACAAUUAUUUUCGUGGUAGGAUAAGGAGACAGCCAAUGGUGUUACAAUGUGUUACUGUUUGAUCGCCAUUAUCGUUUCCACCAAAUUUGUGGUCUGUAUAUGCACGCUUGUGGAAUGCAUUUUGGAGUACUCAAAACAACACAGAAGCAGGGCUCAAAAGAUUGGAAAAUUUAAUAGGAAAUGCUAAUGUCAGUGUGUAUUGUAUCAUAGAAGGAUUUCAAAAAGAGCAGUGCCACAUAGAAAAUGAAUGUGAAUGUAUUUUCCAAGGAGAUCUGUGUCCAAAAAAAUAAUAAGCAGCUAUUUAUCAUGAUGCAAGACUUCAAAACAUAGUUAAUAAUCAUGAAAAUCAGCUAGCUCUUAUGGACUAUCUCUGUGCAAUUGCCCAUAAUCUAUCCCUAUAAUACACUUUUCAAUAUGUCAAAUUUUCUUUUUAGUUUUUAAAUCUUUUGGGGUUUUCCCCCUACUAUUUAAAAUUGUCAGUAUUAUUUUUUACAAUUCACUACCCUUCAUAUCUCAUCUUUGCAUCAUUUCCAAUACUUGUAGUAUAAAUUGUAUAGAGGCUUUCAGAGUUCUAAUUUGUUUUAUGCAGCUUUUACAAAUUUGACUCCAUGAAAGUACAGCAUCACAAUGUUGGCUUGUGUGUAAGCAUUGUACAUGUAUGUAAAAACAUUGAAGCUUCCUCAGUAAAGGAAAAUAUGUCCUUUUUUGUACAUCUGCAUUUGUAAAAAUAACAUUUCUUGAGAUCUUGGCCCUUUGGGUGACUGCAUAUUUGGUGGUGACGCACCAUGGUUUUUUAUUGAUGUCAUCAAAAGACUUAGGAUGUUCAUCAUGGUAUUUCAGAUGACUGCCGUUAUAAAUCUGGGUGCCUACAACUACUAACUAUGGUGGUAUGCAUUUAUACAUUUCCAUUUGUAACCUAUUUCUUUAUGAAUAUAGUACAUCUGCUCAUAACUGUCAUACUUGUAUAACUGUUGUUAGUACACUUGAGUAUUUAUG